GACGAACGCUGGCGGCGUGCUUAACACAUGCAAGUCGAACGGAAAGGUCCUGCUUGCAGGGUACUCGAGUGGCCAACGGGCGAGUAACACGUGGGUGAUCUGCCCUGCACUUCGGGAUAAGCCGGGGAAACUGGGCCUAAUACCGGAUAGGAGCCAUUUUUAGUGUGAUGGUUGGAAAGUUUUUUCGGUGUAGGAUGAGCUUGCGGCCUAUCUGCUUGUUGGUGGGGUAAUGGCCUACCAAGGCGGCGUCGGGUAGCCGGCCUGAGUGGGUGGACGGCGACAUUGGGACUGAGAUACGGCCCAGACUCCUACGGGAGGCAGCAGUGGGGAAGCUUGCACAAUGGGCGCAAGCCUGGUGCAGCGACGCCGCGUGGGGGAUGACGGCCUUCGGGUUGUAAACUCCUUUCGCUAGGGACGAAGCUUUUUGUGACGGUACCUAGACAAGAAGCACCGGCUAACUACGUG
RNAcentral lists this ribosomal RNA (465 nucleotides) under uncultured bacterium. RNAcentral describes it as "partial 16S ribosomal RNA". It matches the Rfam family "Bacterial small subunit ribosomal RNA", at positions 28 to 507 of the family's 1533-position model. The record is from RNAcentral.